GAUGAACGCUGGCGGCGUGCCUAAUACAUGCAAGUCGAGCGAACGGACGAGAAGCUUGCUUCUCUGAUGUUAGCGGCGGACGGGUGAGUAACACGUGGAUAACCUACCUAUAAGACUGGGAUAACUUCGGGAAACCGUAGCUAAUACCGGAUAAUAUUUUGAACCGCAGGGUUCAAAAGUGAAAGACGGUCUUGCUGUAACUUAUAGAUGGAUCCGCGCUGCAUUAGCUAGUUGGUAAGGUAACGGCUUACCAAGGCAACGAUGCAUAACCGACCUGAUAGGGUGAUCGGCCACACUGGAACUGAGACACGGUCCAGACUCCUACGGGAGGCAGCAGUAGGGAAUCUUCCGCAAUGGGCGAAAGCCUUACGGAGCAACGCCGCGUGAGUGAUGAAGGUCUUCGGAUCGUAAAACUCUGUUAUUAGGGAAGAACAUAUGUGUAAGUAACUGUGCACAGCUUGACGGUACCUAAUCAGAAAGCCACGGCCAACUACGUG
RNAcentral lists this ribosomal RNA (497 nucleotides) under uncultured bacterium. RNAcentral describes it as "partial 16S ribosomal RNA". It matches the Rfam family "Bacterial small subunit ribosomal RNA", at positions 28 to 507 of the family's 1533-position model. The record is from RNAcentral.